UGGGGCGACGCGUCUCUCCCCCGACCUCUAGGCGGCAGCGGUUGGAUCACCGAAGGCGGCAGAAGCGGACGGAAUCGAGAGCGCCGAGGAGAAGCGGACGGAACCACACCGUGCGCGCGACGCGAGGGAACCUCCGUCCUACCUACUACCCAACGCCAGAUGGAAGAGUCAUGCUAUACAAAAAAGAAAAAUCCAUACCGACAGUCAUGUACUCCUCGUCUCCAAGGCAGGGCUCCUCGACAAUAGGGUCCCCGCUGCACAGAAAUUCGACAUGGAAAUUUGAAGCUUGCAGCAAGAAUGAUGUGACAAUGCCCCUGCUAGCUGCUGCCUAGUGAGUAUCAUCAUAGAUGUUUCUUCUACUCCCAAAAGGAAAUACUUAUUCACAUAGAUACCUUUGCUUAACCAAAGUCAGUUCUAAAACUGGGUUAACUUGAAUCCCAAGAUUGAUGUCGGCGUGAGUUCCUCAAUGGCGGUCUUCUUCACCAACUUCCUCUUCUGCAGCGGGACUUCUUGGCUGGACAAUGGCAUCGAUGCUCAAUCUGUUCUUCAUUUUCUCUUCUUAUUUUCUUGUUGUAUUCGUUGCCUGUAAGUUGUUUCUUCAGAAUUCUGUAACACUCUGGCCGUUACGGGCUUUGUUAAUUCAAAGUCGGGCACCUGUGUGUCUUUUAUCUAAAAAAAAAACUUGAAUCCCAACACUUCUUUUGAUUCAAACUGGGAUUGUUGAUCAGUAAGGGUUAUAAGAUGUACUAGCAAGAUGUAAGUUCUUUUCCGUAGCUAAUUUUUUUAUAUUGUGCCUGGAGUAUACAUUGCAUGCCCUUUGUGUUUAUUGGCUGUCUAUUACUAUUUUGUAAUAGAUUCAUUACUUCUAAAGAUUUUCAUUAUAAUAUCUUUCCCUGACAUACAUGCCCUCUCUUAAUCUCUCCCUGAGUAUGGUCUCUCCCCUGCCAUCCCUGGGCGGCGGCAGCUAGAGCACCGAGGGCGGUGGAGGCGAACAGGAUCGAGAGCGGCGAGGUGAGAAGGGUCAACGUAUCUCCCCAGCGACAGUGGUUGGAGCACCGAGGGCAGUAAAAGGGGACGGGAUCAGGAGCGGCAAGGAGGAGACGGUUGUUUACGAUGGCAGUCAUCCAGAUUUUCAUGCAACCAUUCAAUCUAUUUUAUCCG
Lolium rigidum is the source of this 1161-nucleotide long non-coding RNA. RefSeq lists it as uncharacterized. The record is from RefSeq and is a predicted model, not a curated record. NCBI's taxonomy places the organism in Eukaryota, Viridiplantae, Streptophyta, Magnoliopsida, Poales, Poaceae. The transcript has 4 exons.